GCACAGAUCAUGAAGUGGACAAAGUAAAA
RNAcentral lists this small RNA (29 nucleotides) under Bombyx mori (domestic silkworm). RNAcentral describes it as "ovarian small RNA-16287". The record is from RNAcentral. Lineage: Eukaryota; Metazoa; Arthropoda; Insecta; Lepidoptera; Bombycidae.